UCUGUACAGGGAAUGUGCUCCUCCUCGAAGCAUAGACAAGAAGCAGCCCUUAGAUCUCAUCAGGAAAUUCUACGGAGAGAAGGUAGGAAUCUACUUUGCUUGGGCUGGGCUAUUACAUUCAGAUGCUCCUCCUGGCAGCAGUCGUGGGGGUGACUUGCUUUCUGAAGAAGAGCGUGUUCCAUUUACCACCUGGGGAAAGUGUAUACAUAUAACCCUUUGUGCAAGUGCUCUUUUUCUGGGUAAGAACCUGCCACAGACUUUUUAAAAUCUAAUGUGAAAUCCUGAGAAAACUGAAAAUCAAGCUGGGAACUAUGAA
Long non-coding RNA from Camelus dromedarius (Arabian camel), 316 nucleotides. RefSeq lists it as uncharacterized. The transcript is spliced from 3 exons. Lineage: Eukaryota; Metazoa; Chordata; Mammalia; Artiodactyla; Camelidae. The record is from RefSeq and is a predicted model, not a curated record.